This 1488-nucleotide ribosomal RNA is filed under the name Candidatus Woesebacteria bacterium GW2011_GWE1_35_20. RNAcentral's name for it is "bacterial SSU rRNA". It matches the Rfam family "Bacterial small subunit ribosomal RNA". RNAcentral also lists the same sequence under 1 other name. Lineage: Bacteria; Candidatus Woeseibacteriota. The record is from RNAcentral.
UUUGAGGAUUUGAUCCUGGUCCAGGAUGAACGCUAGCGGUGUGCUUUAAGCAUGCAAGUGGGACGAGUUGUAGCAAUACAACUAGUCGCGAACGGCUGAGUAUAAAAUAGGAAUCUACCCAAUGGUGUGGAAUACCUUAUCGAAAGAUGAGCUAAUACCACAUGACCUCGCAAGAGAAAAGGACUUAACUGUCCGCCGAUGGAUGAGCCUAUUUCCCAUCAGUUUGUUGGUAGGGUAAUGGCCUACCAAGACUAUGACGGGUAGGGGAUUUGAGAGGAUGACCCCCCAGAACAGGACUGAGACACGGCCUGUACACCUACGGGUGGCAGCAACUGGGAAUCGUGCGCAAUGGACGAAAGUCUGACGCCGCGACACCGCGUGAAGGAUGAAGGCCUUUUGGUCGUAAACUUCUUUUGCCAUAUGGGUGACCAUAUGGAGAAUAAGCACCUGCUAACUCUGUGCCAGCAGCCGCGGUAAUACAGAGGGUGCAAGCGUUAUCCGGAUUUAUUGGGCGUAGAGCGUUUCGUAGGCGGUUUGGUAAGUUAGACUUCAAAGACCACGGCUCAACCGGGGGAAGGGGUCUAAUACUGCCAGACUUGAGGGUUUUAGGGGCAAUCGGAACUGUUGGUGUAGGGGUGAAAUCCGUUGAUAUCAACAGGAACGUCAAGGGCGUAGGCAGAUUGCUGGGAAACUUCUGACGCUGAGGAACGAAAGCUAGGGGAGCGAAAGGGAUGGGGUUUAUAAACUCUAGAGAGACCCCUGUAGUCCUAGCCGUAAACUUUGCCUGCUAGCGAUCCGACUUUGGUCGGGUUGCGUAAGCUAACGCGUUAAGCGGGCCGCCUGGGGAGUACGAACGCAAGUUUAAAACUCAAAGGAAUUGACGGGAAGGCGCACAACCAGUGGAGCAUGUGGUUUAAUUCGAAACGAAACGAAGAACCUUACCCAGUCUUGACAUAUUACCGUUUUAGAUUGCCAGAAAUGGCGAUCGAUCCUUAAGUAAUUUUGGAUGGUAUUACAGGUGUUGCAUGGCCGUCGUCAGCUCGUGUCGUAAGGUGUUCCCUUCAGUGGGGUAACGAGCGCAACCCCUGCCCUGAGUUAAAUAAUCUCAGGGGACUUCCCUCAUUUAUUGCGGGAGGAAGUGGGGACGACGUCAGGUCAGCAUGGCCCUUAUGACUGGGGCAACACACAUACUACAAUGGAGCCGACAAUGGGUUGCCAAGCCGCAAGGCGGAGCUAAUCCCAUCAAACGGCUUCUCAGUUGGGAUUGAGGGCUGCAACUCGCCCUCAUGAACAUGGAAUUGGUAGUAAUCGCGGGUCAGCUAUACCGCGGUGAAUACGUUCUCGCCUUUUGUACACACCGCCCGUCAAGGCAGUAAAGUUAAAGGUACCCGAACUUCGAUUUUGUCGGAGGAAGGUAAAUUUAGCGAUAAGGCUUAAGUCGUAUGAACAAGGUAUCCCUACUGGAAGGUGGGGAUGGAUCACCUCCUU